GCCCUUUUUCUUCCUCAGUCUGCUUCUUUUCUUUUCAGAAAACAUAUAAAAAAUGGUUUGAGUUCAUCAUUCUUUGGAGUUUUAUUUCGUCUAUUUUCAAGUGAAAAAAUCCAAAGAAAAUUACCAAAAGGCAGUGUUUUAUUCAGUUCAAGCUCGUGAUUUCCUGUUGAGAUUUAGCUGUUGUUUCUCUUGUCCGGAGUUUGGGAUUCGAAGCGUCGUCGACGAUUCUUUAUUAUUGGAAAAGGCUUGCAUCUUUCAGGUUCUUGGCUUACCAUUUCCUCUUGUCUGAUAUGUUAUUCAAAUGAUAAUAAAAAAAAUGUUGCUUUCUGUUGGAUUUAGACGAAUUAAAUGCCUAAAAUUCUGUCAGUUUGAUAUGAUGAAUGUGCUCUGUUUUUAAAUCUUUUAGAUACAUCUUGCUUUUGUUGAGAUUAAGAGUGAGUCGAUUUUCUUAACUUUCUUCAUAAGGUUUUCUGUUUGGUCUCAGCCUCGUUCGUUUGGUUUAAGGUGCCGAAAAUUAAGUAUCGUUAUUCUCAUUCGAAAAUCUGACCCCUUUAGGGUGUUGUCAUUGAAUCAAAUGUAUCAUUAUUUUCGAACAGAGAUGUCAAGUGACUCUAAAUGGCUGCUGGUACUCGUAUGUGCUUGAUUUUGUGUUGUUCUAUGUAAUUAAUAGAGUAGUUUGAGACUCAAAAAUCAAUUAUUGUCAUAUGUGCUUUAGUGUGUGAUCUAAACUUUAGUUUCAUGUAUGCUAGUGUUUCUCCAUGACUGUAUGUGCUCAACCAAGAAUAUGUAAAACACUAAAGAUUAUGAAUGAGGCAGCAUAGCAAUGGGAAGCUCUAACGUUGGUUGCCUCCCAUCCGCGUGCCAAUGAUUUCUCAGUAUCUGCUACUGUCAAAGAAAGAACCCUUCUCCGAUUUUGCUUACCCACAAACCUUCACCUGACUCUUGCACUUAGAAAUUCUAACAUCUCUCGUUCAUUGACACAUGAAUUCACUGCAUUUUCCAGAGAUUUCAUUUCACUCAUAUUCAUUCUCAUCUUCAGUAGAGAAAACCUCUGAAAUUUUAGCUUUAAAAACUUCAAUUGAACUGCAAUUGCUGCUCUGCUACUCCUGUGAUGUUUCCUGCGCUCUUUUGCUUGACUAUUUUAGACUCUUAAUGUUGUUGUCGAGGUACUCUUCGUACUUCUGAUUAUAUACAUUUCUCACUUUGAAUCCAUGAAGGCAUGACUGCUAAGAAGUGUUCAGCUUUCGAAGUGUAUGUUUCUCUG
This 1264-nucleotide long non-coding RNA is filed under the name Nicotiana tabacum (common tobacco). RNAcentral's name for it is "long non-coding RNA (NTAB_LNC009828)". The record is from RNAcentral. Lineage: Eukaryota; Viridiplantae; Streptophyta; Magnoliopsida; Solanales; Solanaceae.